UUCUAUCUAUCUCUUAUCUCAUUCGAUCAGACUCUAAUGCAGCCUCCAAAAUCCGCUAUUCUCACCGGUUCUGAAGCUCCAAUCAACCCCAAAUAUUCACCACACACUCCUCAUAGGCCCUCAAACACUAAACCACCGUCAAUUUUCUGAAAUCCUCUCCAUGUUUCUCUAAUUUCAAAUCUUAAAUGGAACCCUAGAUUCGUUUCCGUCUUUGAUUCCUCGUGCAAAGGGCCUGGUUCGAUGUUCUCCAAAGUGUUGAAGAGAUUUUGACCUGAAACAAGUAUUAGAUGGUUUGUUCUCACAAGAACAACCUGAAUAACACUCAUUGUGGGUUCAAAUCGAUUUGCUGGAUAGUCUAUCCAAACCCAUUAUACAUCUGUUUCUUUCAAAUAUUUCAGGUCAUGUGUUUCCAUUUUUGAUCUCAUUCUCAUUUUCGUCCAUUUUUUUUAUUUUUUUAUUUUUUUAUUUUUCCAUUUUCAAAUCAUACCUAUUAAUUUUAGGUUAUUUUCCUUUUAGUCAGUAUCUUUUCUGAUUUUAAUUGACUUUUUUGUUUGAUUUUGCUUAAGUCCCUCCCUCUUUUGUUUCCUUUAGAAUUCCUGACCUUAGGAGUUCAUAUGACUCAGAUUGGCCCGUUCUCUUGAUUCUCCUACUGCUUUUUUUAAUUGCUCCAUGGGCUCUGUCAACUGAAGCCCAAAAAGGUGGAAGUGUCUAUCCCGGUUUGCAGGACUAGGGGUUUUGGGUCGAUCGACUUGACCCAUAUCUGGUUCCAAGGGUAAAUGGCAGAAGUUUAAAGGCUAGUUUAGGGAUUUCAGUUAAGGAGAAUCUGGUAUAUCUGAUUAGGAAGCUACCUGGAAGGUGGGGUUGGGGCCAUUUUAGAAAACAAAAUUUAUAACUGAGGAAUAGCUAGCAAAAAUGAAAAUUAAAAAAAAGGAGUAAUAGGCAAAAUCUGAAACCCAUUUCUGUUGCCCUAAAGUUUCUCUAUAAAAGGCAUGUUUUUUCAUUUUUAAGAGAGAUUUUUAGAGAAUUACAAUACUUAAAAGCUUAAAAAACGGCUGAGUACUGCAAAUCCUUUGCAUUUUUGGUAGGAAUUAGAUUGGUUUGCUGUUUAUCUUCAUAAGUUUGAAACCUUUCAAGAGUUUUCUGGUUCAUUCUGGGUUCAAAAUAGUUUGGAAGGACUGUUUGUUGCUGUUAUUGGCUGUGUUAAUACUGUUGAUACUUUGUUGCUGGUUUUCUCGAACUUCAAGUUUAUUUCCAUUGUGGUUCUUUGGUGUAACCAGGUACACAUUUCUGGAUCCUAUUGAAUGUGAGGCUCGAUUUGAAGUAUGCAGUUGAAAUAUGGAGUUUUGAGAAUAGCAUCAACUCAUUUGCUCAUAAUUUAGCUUUAUAUUCUGCAUUACAUUAUUCUUCUAUUGUCUGAUUAAUUGUAUUGGUCUGGGCAAUUGACAGUACUCUCUUGGGGAUGUAUUUUGUCUUUUCUUAGCAUGUGAAUUUAAUUUUUCUUUCAAGUAUCAUAUAGCCGGAUUUUGGUUUUGAUAGCUGAACUCUUGUCAUUGUAUUUAAUCUUGGACUGUUAUGAUAUGGACA
Molecule: long non-coding RNA, 1584 nt
Filed under: Nicotiana benthamiana
Lineage: Eukaryota; Viridiplantae; Streptophyta; Magnoliopsida; Solanales; Solanaceae
Description: long non-coding RNA (NBEN_LNC017889)
Source: RNAcentral